This 534-nucleotide unclassified non-coding RNA is filed under the name Hevea brasiliensis (rubber tree). Lineage: Eukaryota; Viridiplantae; Streptophyta; Magnoliopsida; Malpighiales; Euphorbiaceae. The record is from RNAcentral.
UGAUCAUCAUUAUCAUUUUCAUUAUCAUCAUUAUCAGAAGAAGAAUUAGUCCUCUUGAUGGGAAUAAAUUCCUCAAGCACAGGUCUAGUUCCUUCACUCAUCGUUUGCUCCGAGCACUCUGAUUGCCCAUGCAUGUACUCCGUCGUCGUACCCGAUAACUCCCUCCUACAAGCCUCGAUCGCUUGCGUGACAAGCUCUAAACACAAAGGAAGCUCGCGUUGAAAAACUUGAAUCUUACGCUUUUCUUCCUCUAAUGCCUCCACAUAUUCAUGGCACCGCUGCAUCUUCUCUGCAUAAUCCAUUUUGUCCCCUUGUUACUGCUAAUGAUGAUGGUGAUGGUGAUAUAGCCGUUGAUGAUGAAGCAGAUUAUAUGAUGAAGUGGGUUUUGGUGGUCUAAGCAUAGAUAGAUCCGAACCAACGAGAGGGAAAUUAAAGGAGAGGAGAAUAUGGGAUCUAAAUAGAAUCAGAAAACGGAAUCAACUUAAAGACAACCCAAACCAAACUAUGCCCAAACAAAAAAAAAAAAAAAAAAAA